RNAcentral lists this ribosomal RNA (391 nucleotides) under Tricoma sp. 43L29D15. RNAcentral describes it as "SSU rRNA". It matches the Rfam family "Eukaryotic small subunit ribosomal RNA", at positions 45 to 434 of the family's 1831-position model. Lineage: Eukaryota; Metazoa; Nematoda; Chromadorea; Desmoscolecida; Desmoscolecidae. The record is from RNAcentral.
UAAGCCAUGCAUGUCUAAGCACAAGCCGAAUAUGGUGAAGCCGCGAAUGGCUCAUUACAACAGCCUUUGUUUAUUUGAUCUUGAAAUCCUACUUGGAUAACUGUGGCAAUUCUAGAGCUAAUACACGCGUUUAAACUCGUAACUGCCGUUGCGAGUGCAUUUAUUAGUACAAAACCAAUCGGGCUUCGGCCCGUAGUCUGGUGAAUUUGAAUAAAUGAGCCGAUCGCAUGGUCUCUGUACCGGCGACGUAUCUUUCAAGUGUCUGCCCUAUCAACUUUCGAUGGUAGUUUAUAUGACUACCAUGGUUAUAACGGGUAACGGAGAAUAAGGGUUCGACUCCGGAGAAGCAGCCUGAGAAACGGCUACUACAUCCAAGGAAGGCAGCAGGCAU